Nomascus leucogenys (northern white-cheeked gibbon) is the source of this 2326-nucleotide RNA transcript. RefSeq lists it as uncharacterized. Lineage: Eukaryota; Metazoa; Chordata; Mammalia; Primates; Hylobatidae. The transcript is spliced from 2 exons. The record is from RefSeq and is a predicted model, not a curated record.
UCUUUGCACGAGGAAUUGAAGAGAAUCCGAAGCCAGACUCACACAGCUGAGAAGCCGGCGUCCUGCUCUCGAACUGGGAAAGACAUCGCUGCUUGAUCCUUACAAUACUGUGCAACUGCAAUGCAACAUGGCCCUGCUUCAGGUGAUCCGCGGGAGGGGCCUCCACGCCAGCGCGGGAAGGCUGCUGGGGCCUCCACACCUGCCUCAUCACGGCGGCGUGGCUAAGACAAUCCGGCUGGGAGCAUGACCUUGGCGUCUGUUCUGGGAGCACAGAUGAUAAGCUCUGGAAGCUGGCAGUGUGGAAAGCACUGGCAAGUUUGUUACUGUUAAAAUGUCAAAUACCAACGCUUUAUAUCGACACGAAGCGCUUAACACAGCUGGGCUUGGGGGGCAGUCAGGAGGAAGCGGGCCAUCCGUGGAGGAGGGGCCGUUCCUGCACUCCGGCAGGAUUCCUCUGAUGCAGGCCCUGAAGUCUGUACACGUGGUCCAGAUUUGUCCUUGUCUUUUCUUCACACUGAGUUCUCUAUAUUUAUUGAACAUCUUGUCCUUUUAAGCCAGAAGAGUGUAAACUGCGUCUCGGAUGUCUGUCUUUUGUCUCGAAGCCACGAUGGAUCACGGGUUUCCUCUGAAGCACGAGGGCUCCGGCGAGCAGAGGAUUCUUCCCGGAAGGCAUUCCUGCCCCGCUCCCCGGGGCACCCCGCAGUUGUGUACUACACCCUUGUUUAGUGUGCAUCCAUGCCCAUGUAGGUGACGUCUGUAACUUAGGUUUGAGAUGUGAGAAUAUGCGGCUGAAACUUUGAUCUGUGAGGGUGGGCCGUGGCCGUUGGCAGCACGCUGUGGACACCGUUCCUCAUGCUGCCGGGUGGGUUUUGCAGAGGCUUCCUUAGUGAUUGCACAUUUAACCGGCAGCAUCCAUUUUCAGAAUUGCCCGGCAUUCAUUUAUAUUUUGAAGCAUACAGGAAACUUCUCAUUUCGUCGUUUAGCCCCACCCAGGUCAGGUGAAAGGGCAGCUUUAAUGGUGGUUUUUAAGGACCACAUUAUCCGAGAGCACUGUGCGAGCCGAAUGGUUCAAUAACGAAUGGCUGAAUGAAAGUUCUGGGUGUAAAGAGUUAAAUAUGCCCUGGCUCUUUCUACCAAUGUCUGCUCCUGGUUGGAAAGAAACCAAAGAUUUAAGAUGGGCUGCUCUUCCAGACUGGCCGUGCCUGCCUGUGCCCAGCAGCCUGUGCAGCCGGCAGUGUGCCUGGUGUCACGCCAGGAGGCUGUGGCUGCUGUGGGCCCUCUGGAACUGUGCUCCUCACAAAGUUUCCCCAAAAGGUUCUUCUAAGCCUUUAUCGUCCCUGGUAAAUGUUUCCCGGCCGGGCGCGGUGGCUCACGCCUGUAAUCCCAGCACUUUGGGAGGCCGAGGCGGGUGGAUCACCUGAGGUCAGGAGUUUGAAACCAGCCUGCCCAACAUGGUGAAACCUCGUCUCUACUAAAAAUAUGAAACUUAGCCGGGCUUGUUGGCGCACGCCUGUAAUCCCGGCUACUAGGGACACUGAGGCAGGAGAAUCGCUUGAACCCAGGAGGUGGAGGUUGCGGUGAGCCAAGAUUGCGCCACUGCACUCCAGCCUGGGCAACAGAGGGAGACUCCGUCCCCCCUCCCCACACACACACAAAAAACAGUUUCCCAUACACUGGCCUGCUCCAAAACCCACUAACUAUUUUGGCAAAACAGUCCAGGCCAAAGAGGAAGCAUUUUACGUUCAAUAAGAAACCCAGCCAUUCCACAUGGCUGGUUCCUGAGUGGCUUUGGUGAUACUCGCCAGCCACCUGCUGACAUUCAGAAUCUCAGACCUCGGGACUGCUGUUGCGGUACCGUGCGUCUGACACCCGCCAGGAGCCCUUUGCUAUCUGCGCGCAGGAUGGGGGUGACUGCCCAGACAUUCCCGCUUGAUAGGGGCAGCCUUUCAGAUGCAGCAGACAUACAACACCUGUACUUUGGAGUUUUAAGGAAAAAAAAAUCAGAAGUGCUGGUUAGAUAGUGAAAACUUAGGAUAACUUAGAAAGGUUAGUUUUAGCUUCCUUUGUGGCUCCCUGGUGCAAAACAAUUAGCAGUUAUGCAAUGGACCUGAUUCUAGUUUAUUCUAAUUAAGAAGUGAGGCCGGGCGGAGCCUGCCUCUGAUGGCGGGGCUUGACUUCGUUCCUGAAUACAAUCUUGAGUAACUGGGAAAGUCUGAGUGAAAGGAUGGCCUCAUUCUCUUUCUAAUCUUGCUGGUUUCAAGAUUAGAAAAUGGCAUUAUUUGAUCUGAAAUGUUUGAGAAGUCACAAAUAAAGUUACUUGGGCAGA